AUAUAUCGGACGUACCCAGAAGUGGGGGAUACGUAGCGAAAGUUACGCUAAUACCGAAUACGAUCUACGGAUGAAAGUGGGGGACCUUCGGGCCUCAUGCUUUUGGAGCGGCCGAUAUCUGAUUAGCUAGUUGGUAGGGUAAAGGCCUACCAAGGCGACGAUCAGUAGCUGGUCUGAGAGGACGACCAGCCACACUGGAACUGAGACACGGUCCAACUCCUACGGGAGGCAGCAGUGGGGAAUUUUGGACAAUGGGCGCAAGCCUGAUCCAGCAAUGCCGCGUGAGUGAAGAAGGCCUUCGGGUUGUAAAGCUCUUUUGUCAGGGAAGAAACGGCUGAGGUUAAUACCUUCGGCUAAUGACGGUACCUGAAGAAUAAACACCGGCUAACUCCGUGCCAGCAGCCGCGG
This 408-nucleotide ribosomal RNA is filed under the name uncultured bacterium. RNAcentral's name for it is "bacterial SSU rRNA". It matches the Rfam family "Bacterial small subunit ribosomal RNA", at positions 113 to 520 of the family's 1533-position model. The record is from RNAcentral.